RNAcentral lists this transfer RNA (71 nucleotides) under Candidatus Moranbacteria bacterium CG_4_9_14_3_um_filter_36_9. Its description in RNAcentral is "tRNA-Gly". It matches the Rfam family "tRNA". From Rfam's summary of the family: Transfer RNA (tRNA) molecules are approximately 80 nucleotides in length. Their secondary structure includes four short double-helical elements and three loops (D, anti-codon, and T loops). RNAcentral also lists the same sequence under 1 other name. The record is from RNAcentral. Lineage: Bacteria; Candidatus Moraniibacteriota.
GCGGGUAUUGUAUAACGGUAUUACAUCAGGCUUCCAACCUGAGGACGGGGGUUCGACUCCCCCUACCCGCU